CAUAAAACAUUUUAAUGCCACUAUAUGGAAACAGAUAUAAAUUGAUUUCAUUUCCAAGGGCUUUUAAGAAAUGUAGCUUUAUUUUAGGUUGCAGCUAAUUUUGAAUUGUUCCUUUUAGCAGAAGCUUAAAACAUAGUUUUUUUAAAAAUUAAAGAUCAGAGUUUCAAUGUUGCAAUCUAGGGAAAAAUCACAGUGUAACAGUGAAGCAUUUUCCCUUUUUCUUUUUCUUUACUUUUUUUUCUUUUUUUGGUCAUGGAUAGUGGGGAAAUGCAAUCAACACCAACACUCCCUCUGCCAUAUGCUUCAACUUUCAUGUCUGUUUUGCCAUCAUCUAUUCCAUUAACAUUAUGAUUAAUGAAACCUCACUAGAAUUUCAAAUAUAUUGAAAAGUAGCCAAUGACAGCUCUUUGGAGGCUACAUUGAAAAUAAAUAACAAUAAAAACAGGGCGACUUAGGCUUUUGAAGUCUUUAAAGAAACCAUGACUAUGAUCUUUACUACUGCUGCAGAAAAGAGGACAGCACUCCACAUUUCUGGCAUUGUAAAUGACAACACUGCAACUGAAAGAAAGCUUGAAUUUCUGCAAGUAGCUUUAGGAUACAGGACUCCUGCUGAGCUCACCAGUUCCUUGCUCUACACAGCUGCUUUCUCAGCUGGGGUUUUGAAAUUAGCACUGUGAGAAAAGACAGAAAUGACCAGGAUGCAUCUUCCUCACUACGAGAAAAAGAGUAAUAUGCAGUCCACGAGCUGGAGAGCCAAUCUGGUACUUAGAAAGGAAAGAUUCUUGCUUUCUUGAAGCAACAUAGCAUCUCAAGGUGGUGCUUGAGUACCACAAAAACAGAGAUGCAUGUUCUCUACAUGCCGGAAGCAGUCAUCCUGUUGCUAAGGAAACAGCCUCACUCAGCAAGGGUCACCUUUGGAAACAACUGCAAGACUUCAAAGCAGAUUAAUAGAGAAAUACCAAGACCCGAACUUCCUAGCUAAUGUUGUCUUCUAUUUUAAAUACCCUUUUCAACAAAGGUUUGCUUAUGUGAUUUCUGUUUGGUGGGCAGUAGCAAGGCAAAAUUGAAUAUGUAGUAAGUCGAGCCCAGUAUCUUUCAAGCUCUGGCUCUUGGAGAUCUGUGGCUUUUGGUAGACGCUUUGAGUGUGGGAUUGUGCAGGAACAGCAGGAUGGAGACGGACUGACAUCAGGUUUACAAAGAGACGCUGAAUUUAUGACUUUGUUUGAGGGAAAGCUUCCACUCAUUAAAAGAUGUAGCGUCUUUACUCAUACAAGCAUAUGCCGUUACUCAUUUGUCCACAUUGGUGAGAUUUUCUAAUUUGUGAAAAGUCUUGUCAUAUCUUAGGUUUAUGCACAUUUUUGUAUUACUGAAGCGGAUUUCAUUCAUGCAUCCAUUUAUUCAUUUAUUUGUGACAUAUCUUUGAUUUCCUACCAUUUCAGGUACCCUGGGGAUAAGAAGUGAAUAGAACAUAUUUAAGGUCUGGGGGACUCAAUCUGAAGAAGAAAGCAGAUAUGGAAACAAAACAGUGGAAUCACUUGCAGAGGGGACACAAGGAGAUGCUUAUAAUUUUGUCCUGGGGAGGCCAUGAGGAUAAAUUUGCCGGACCUUCAGAGUGCCCUUCUUGGGAAUGCUUCUCUUCUUUGCUUGUUCUACCAUAUUUUUACAAAUAACAAGAAGUAUCAGGUGAGCUAACCAAUAGACCAUUGCAUUUCACGUUCACUCUCAAAUCACUAAGUAGAACAAGUGGUUCCUUCUGUAGCCUCAUCAGUGCUUGCCAUAACAUAAUCUCCCAUCCUUAUAUAUAGCAAAAACAGUCUCUUUCAGCUGUUUGAUUUUUAAUUGCAUUGAGUUCUUCAGCUAAUUUAGCAAUCACUGCAUGAAUAGAAUAUUUCCAUGCAACCCAAAACAACGUCAUAAAGAAACUGCAAAAGACAAAGUAAACCUACAAUGACAAGGGAAGUGAUGAUUUUUUUUUUAAUUAUAGGAGAUGUACUUUACAUCAAGUUAGUAGAAAACUAAUGUGAUGAUUGGUCUACAACUGAUUAGACUUUCUAUGAAUUCUUUUACCCUGUCAUCCAGUUCAUAAUUCUCAUGCUCUUUAUCUCAAAUUUAGUCAUCGUAAUAAAGCUCAUGGCACUAUGUCCGUGGGAGUACGUAUUUCUCUCACCUUCAUCACUAUAUCAUCUCAAACGAUAACAUUUCCUAGCAAGCCAACUUUCUUACAAGUUAAUAUGUGUUGUUGACUUAAUCUGAAUUUGUGCUUAUAUGUUUUGAUGGGUCAAUUCUAUUUCCUUAGUGGCAAAAAGUUUGUUGUUAUUCAAUUUGAUUUAAUAUUCUAUUGACAUUAAGUAAUUUUACUAAUAUGGAGACAUCUGUCCAAUGUUAUAAUGGUGGAUUAUUUUUACAACAAAAAUGCAUGGCUAAUUUGUUUUUUUAAAUAAAAACCAAUAUAAUAAAGUCUAAAAUAAACAAGAAGUCUAAUAUGAAAUGAUGAAGAGAUUUAUUAGCUUUCAUUAUGGUCCCAAAAUGUGGUCUAAUUAACAGCACUAAACUCAGUCAAUGCUACAGUCAUAGAGGCUAAAAUAGAAUAAACAAAUGAACAAAUGAUUAUGCUGUUUCUUGGCAUCAAUUAUCAUGCUAUAUAUAUAUUUCACAUCCAUUUGGACUCUGUCCCCAAAAUUAAGUUUUAUGUUGAAUGAAAUGUAAACUCAGCCUUUAAAAUUAAGACAUUACCACUGACUCCACAGAAGUACACACAGACACACACACACACGCACACACACAGUGACUAUUAUGAACACCUCCAUGCACACA
Long non-coding RNA from Sapajus apella (tufted capuchin), 2814 nucleotides. RefSeq lists it as uncharacterized. The record is from RefSeq and is a predicted model, not a curated record. The transcript is spliced from 3 exons. Lineage: Eukaryota; Metazoa; Chordata; Mammalia; Primates; Cebidae.